UGGGGGAUAUUGCACAAUGGAGGAAACUCUGAUGCAGCAACGCCGCGUGAGGGAAGACGGUUUCCGGAUUGUAAACCUCUGUCCUUAGGGAAGAUAAUGACGGUACCUAAGGAGGAAGCUCCGGCUAACUACGUGCCAGCAGCCGCGGUAAUACGUAGGGAGCAAGCGUUGUCCGGAUUUAUUGGGUUUAAAGGGUGCGUAGGCGGAUCGAUCAGUCAGUGGUGAAGUCUCCCGGCUCAACCGGGACACUGCCAUUGAAACUGUCGAUCUAGAGUGUACAAGAGGUAAGCGGAAUGCGUGGUGUAGCGGUGAAAUGCAUAGAUAUCACGCAGAACCCCGAUUGCGAAGGCAGCUUACCGGUGUACAACUGACGCUGAGGCACGAAAGCGUGGGUAUCAAACA
This 402-nucleotide ribosomal RNA is filed under the name uncultured bacterium. RNAcentral's name for it is "bacterial SSU rRNA". It matches the Rfam family "Bacterial small subunit ribosomal RNA", at positions 355 to 774 of the family's 1533-position model. The record is from RNAcentral.